GGCCAGGUAGCUCAGUCGGUAGAGCAUACGACUGAAAAUCGUAGUGUCGGCGGUUCAAUCCCGCCCCUGGCCACCA
Molecule: transfer RNA, 76 nt
Filed under: Trueperaceae bacterium
Lineage: Bacteria; Thermotogati; Deinococcota; Deinococci; Trueperales; Trueperaceae
Description: tRNA-Phe
Rfam family: tRNA
About the family: Transfer RNA (tRNA) molecules are approximately 80 nucleotides in length. Their secondary structure includes four short double-helical elements and three loops (D, anti-codon, and T loops).
Source: RNAcentral